GCAUAUCCAAAAAGCGGAGGAAAAGAAACCAACAGGGAUUGCCUCAGUAACGGCGAGUGAAGCGGCAAAAGCUCAAAUUUGAAACCCUCGGGAUUGUAAUUUGAAGAUUUGGCAUUGGAGAAAGCUAACCCAAGUUACUUGGAAUAGUACGUCAUAGAGGGUGACAACCCCGUCUGGCUAACCGUUCUCCAUGUAUUGCCUUAUCAAAGAGUCGAGUUGUUUGGGAAUGCAGCUCAAAGUGGGUGGUAAACUCCAUCUAAAGCUAAAUACUGGUGAGAGACCGAUAGCGAACAAGUACUGUGAAGGAAAGGUGAAAAGAACUUUGAAAAGAGAGUGAAAUAGUAUGUGAAAUUGUUGAUAGGGAAGGAAAUGAGUGGAGAGUGGUUUAGGUUUCAGCCUUCUUUCGAGGGGGUGUACUACCAACGCCGAGUCAUUGUCAGCGAGACAGGGGUUAUAAACGGGUUGCCUUCUGGCUUCUCACCUAACCCCUCCACUGCCGACAACGACAUAAUCCACCCAUUUCACCCGUCUUG
Molecule: ribosomal RNA, 533 nt
Filed under: [Candida] sp. CS-8-1
Lineage: Eukaryota; Fungi; Ascomycota; Saccharomycetes; Saccharomycetales
Description: eukaryotic LSU rRNA
Rfam family: Eukaryotic large subunit ribosomal RNA
Source: RNAcentral